This is a long non-coding RNA of Microtus ochrogaster (prairie vole), 1866 nucleotides long. RefSeq lists it as uncharacterized. Lineage: Eukaryota; Metazoa; Chordata; Mammalia; Rodentia; Cricetidae. The record is from RefSeq and is a predicted model, not a curated record. The transcript is spliced from 4 exons.
CGAGUCACCUGAUUCUGUGUCCUAUGCUGCAAAGAGGAUCCUGGUUUUGAAGAUCCUGCUUCUCUUUCAAGAUAUACAUGCAUUGUGUACCAAAAUUGAAUUUCCAUGAUCAUGGACUGUACAUUGUCAAGGGAAUUGAUUCUACUGCUCAACAAUAAUUGUAGGACAUUUUAUUGGUGCUGUGACUCAGAUUGGGCUUGGUCCUGGAUGGCUGAAGGUUCCCAGGGCUCCCUUAACCCGAUGAUGACUGCCAUCUGUAAUCAGGAGCCACAGCAUCUUACGAGGUCCAAGCCAUCAGAUGACUCCAGUUCCUCAAAGCCCGAAGAAAUGCAGUCUUAAUCAACCACUCAAGGACGCCAGUGGACGGAAUGUGACCAGACAGGAUGCAUUGGACACCCCAAAACACUCGAUGCCCACAAAGUCAGCAGGAAGCAAUUAUGAGGGACCUGGCUGAGCCCCCAUUCCCUACGCAUUAAGAACCUUAAUCCCCCCACCACCACGGAAUUUUUAUAAUAAACGGAAGAGUGAAAUGUAAUUCCUUUAGCAAUAUGUAAGGCUGCACUUCCAGGUUCUGAAGCAGGCGCCUGUAUUCCCUGUCCACAUGCGUGUGUCGCCCGCCAUCUGCGUCACCAGCAUCUGAAGUAGAGGUCCCCAUAAGCAGGCACAGGGCGAAGCAUCGCCCAUCAUCAGCGUGAGAAGUGGGCACGUAGUCAUGCCUGAGUCGCCCGCCAACUGCCUCACCAGCAUCUGACGUAGAAGCCCCUGUGCGCAAGCGCAGGGCAUAGCAUCGCCCAUCAUCAACAUCUUUCCCCUCAUGCGCAUGUGCUAGGAAACCUUUUAAAGCUAAAAGCACCAUUCCCAAGGCCUCUUCCACCCCAUCUGUUCACCACUCCCUGAGCUCCUCUGAACAGAUCUUCUUAAUAAACUUAUACCCGUGGGUUUGUUUGUGUUUUGUGUUCUCUCCCCAUCUCCGCAGGGCAUUUUAUUAUUCAGCCUCUGUUUUCCUCUAUCAGAAUGAUAGACAUAGUUUUUGUUUAGGCCUUUGACCAUUGUAGUCUCUAAUUCUUGGACAUUUGUACUGUGUGUGUGGUAUUUCUUCCAUCUAAUGGAGUUGAUCCUAUUAUUCAAAUGCAGGAGAUUACUCCCAUUAAUUUAGACUAGACUAUCAGCAUGGCUGAAAGUGGAAAAAUGCAAAAAAAAAAUAACCGCAGAAAUAGAAAAGUAGGAAAAUAUUUAGCUGCAUAAGGGGAAUAUCUGUGGUUCUCUGCUUAUUAUCUCCUGUUAUUUUUGCUUGGUAAUUUAGAGUCGACACAGUGUCUUGCAUGGCUAUAUCAGCAACGUGCAUGGUAGGAAAUAAUAAUCACUGUUGACUAAAAAAAAUAAAAAUAAAAAAUAACCACUGUUGACUGUUAUUGGAAUUCAUGUAAUAAAAAAUUAAUAGACAAUCAUUACAAUUUUAUCUCAGGCUAAGGAGCAUAGAAAUAAGAACUCUGAGUUCUUAGUAAUUAUGAGAUUGCCUAUUUUGAUUGGCUAUUUCCAUACCCUUAGAAACACUAUGUCAUUCUGACAUUGCUAAUAUACCAUUGCAUGCAACUAGCUUGUGAUGCAUAUUUCGGGAAACUUUCACACUUAACAUCAACAAAUCACCAACAAAUUUUGCAUGCAUAAUUCUAUCAAUAUGAAAACAAUGGAACAUUCCUAUAUCUUCUGUAAGAGUCUUAUAACGUAUACAUUAUCAGGGUAAUUUAUGUUAUCUAAUCAGAUGUUGCAAGGGGAAAGACAGAUUUCUUCACAGCCCCUCAGGGCCUGAUAGUGUGCUAGUAAUAGAUUCCAUAACCAUGCACCCAAACCAUUUACCCGAAUACA